UGCCAGCAGCCGCGGUAAUACGGAGGGUACAAACGUUAAUCGGAAUUACUGGGCGUAAAGCGCGCGUAGGUGGUUUAUUAAGUGGGAUGUGAAAGCCCCGGGCUCAACCUGGGAACUGCAUUCCAAACUGAUGAACUAGAGUACGAUAGAGGGGGGUAGAAUUCAGAGUGUAGCGGUGAAAUGCGUAGAUAUUCUGAGGAAUACCGGUGGCGAAGGCGGCCCCCUGGAUUGAUACUGACACUGAGGUGCGAAAGCGUGGGGAGCAAACAGGAUUAGAUA
RNAcentral lists this ribosomal RNA (279 nucleotides) under uncultured bacterium. RNAcentral describes it as "partial 16S ribosomal RNA". It matches the Rfam family "Bacterial small subunit ribosomal RNA", at positions 506 to 784 of the family's 1533-position model. The record is from RNAcentral.